RNAcentral lists this ribosomal RNA (661 nucleotides) under uncultured bacterium. RNAcentral's name for it is "bacterial SSU rRNA". It matches the Rfam family "Bacterial small subunit ribosomal RNA", at positions 232 to 885 of the family's 1533-position model. The record is from RNAcentral.
CGCGGCCUAUCAGCUUGUUGGUGAGGUAACGGCCUACCAAGGCUAUGACGGGUAGCAGGCCUGAGAGGGUGGUCUGUCACACUGGGACUGAGACACUGCCCAGACUCCUACGGGAGGCUGCAGUCGAGAAUCUUCCGCAAUGGGCGAAAGCCUGACGGAGCGACGCCGCGUGGAGGACGAAGGCCCUCGGGUUGUAAACUCCUGUCACAGGUGAUGAAUGAGCGUACGUUAAUAGCGUGCGAAUUGACGUAAGCCUGAGAGGAAGCACCGGCUAACUCCGUGCCAGCAGCCGCGGCAAUACGGAGGGUGCAAACGUUGUUCGGAAUUACUGGGCAUAAAGAGCUCGUAGGCGGCUGUGUAAGUGUGAAGUGAAAUCCCACGGCUCACCCGUGGAACUGCUUUGCAGGCUGCACGGCUAGAGGAUGGUAGGGGAGAGCGGAACUCCUGGUGGAGCGGUGAAAUGCGUAGAUAUCAGGAGGAACACCGGUGGCGAAGGCGGCUCUCUGGUCCACCCCUGACGCUGAGGAGCGAAAGCUAGGGUAGCGAACGGGAUUAGAUACCCUGGUAGUCCACGCCGUAAACGUUGGGUGCUAGGUGUCGCGGGUAUUGACCCCUGCGGUGCCGGCGUUAACGCAUUUAGCACCCCGCCUGGGGAGUACGG